This 465-nucleotide ribosomal RNA is filed under the name Vreelandella stevensii. RNAcentral describes it as "partial 16S ribosomal RNA". It matches the Rfam family "Bacterial small subunit ribosomal RNA", at positions 338 to 795 of the family's 1533-position model. Lineage: Bacteria; Pseudomonadati; Pseudomonadota; Gammaproteobacteria; Oceanospirillales; Halomonadaceae. The record is from RNAcentral.
CCUACGGGCGGCAGCAGUGGGGAAUAUUGGACAAUGGGGGGAACCCUGAUCCAGCCAUGCCGCGUGUGUGAAGAAGGCCCUCGGGUUGUAAAGCACUUUCAGUGAGGAAGAACGCCUGGUGGUUAAUACCCAUCAGGAAAGACAUCACUCACAGAAGAAGCACCGACUAACUCCGUGCCAGCAGCCGCGGUAAUACGGAGGGUGCGAGCGUUAAUCGGAAUUACUGGGCGUAAAGCGCGCGUAGGUGGCUUGAUAAGCCGGUUGUGAAAGCCCCGGGCUCAACCUGGGAACGGCAUCCGGAACUGUCAAGCUAGAGUGCAGGAGAGGAAGGUAGAAUUCCCGGUGUAGCGGUGAAAUGCGUAGAGAUCGGGAGGAAUACCAGUGGCGAAGGCGGCCUUCUGGACUGACACUGACACUGAGGUGCGAAAGCGUGGGUAGCAAACAGGAUUAGAUACCCUGGUAGUC